CCGCUAAAAGAGGGGUUUGCGUCUGAUUAGCUAGUUGGUAGGGUAACGGCCUACCAAGGCAAUGAUCAGUAGCCGGUCUGAGAGGAUGAACGGCCACACUGGGACUGAGACACGGCCCAGACUCCUACGGGAGGCAGCAGUGGGGAAUCUUCCGCAAUGGGCGAAAGCCUGACGGAGCAACGCCGCGUGAACGAAGAAGGUUUUCGGAUCGUAAAGUUCUGUUCUUAGAGACGAAAGAUACGAUUGUGAAUAAUGAUUGUAAGUGACGGUAACUAAGGAGCAAGCCACGGCUAACUACGUG
RNAcentral lists this ribosomal RNA (301 nucleotides) under uncultured bacterium. RNAcentral describes it as "bacterial SSU rRNA". It matches the Rfam family "Bacterial small subunit ribosomal RNA", at positions 215 to 507 of the family's 1533-position model. The record is from RNAcentral.